Molecule: long non-coding RNA, 2448 nt
Organism: Piliocolobus tephrosceles (Ugandan red Colobus)
Lineage: Eukaryota; Metazoa; Chordata; Mammalia; Primates; Cercopithecidae
Source: Ensembl
ACAUUUUAAAAUAGAAAUGUACGAAAAAUUAUUAGAAAUUGAUAAAAAUGCUAAAAAUAAAAGCAAUUAUGAAAAUAUUAUAAAAAUGAUUAAACAAAAUCAUGUAGAUAAUUUUUUGCAAACACGUGAUAACCAAACAAAUAACAUAUUUCAAAAAAGUGGCAUAAGUGACAUCUUUGCACGAAAUACAACACAAAUUGUAUAUAAUAAAAAAGACACUAUUAAAAGUAAUAAUUUGAAUAUGCAUAACGACGAUAACAAAACACAACAAAUGAUAAAAAAUGAAAGUAAUAUAGCAAAGAGUGAAAAUGUUGUAGCAAAAAAUGGAAAUAAAAUAAUAAGUAUUCCCAUAAAUUUUAAGUUAAAAAAAAACACAAAAAAUAAUCAAAAUAAUCCAAAUAAUUUUACUAAACGUAAUGAAAAUAAUCAACGUGACCAAAAUAAUAAAAGUAAUAUAACUAACAAAACUAUCAGGAACAGCAAAAAUAUCAUUAAACUUAACGUAAAACAAAAUAAAACAAAUUCUGUAAAACCAUUUUUAGUAUUAAAUAGUAAAACUUUUACAAACAUAAAUAAUACUCAAAAAUAUAACACUUUUAAUAAUGUUAAAGCACAAAUAACUAACAAAGAAGAAUUUUUAAACUCUUUUAUAGAAAAAAAUGAUGAUAAUAAAAAAACCAUGAAUAUAGAAAAUGUAUUUAAUUUAAAAAUGAAACCAAAUUUAAAUGUUCCAGAAAAUCAAUCCAACAAGAAACAAAUCGUUAAUAUUGCACGUACAGGUACUCUUUCCGAUGAUACAGUAUUAAAUCAUUUUCAUAACAAUUGUAACAGUAAUAAUAAUAACAAUAAUAACAGUAACACUAGCUAUAAUAAGAGUGAUAACUAUAUAAGGAUGCAAAAUAUGAACAACAGCUAUAACAAAUGUAAUGACAUAACUACUGCACCAAAAAUUGUUUACAAUACAUCUAAACCAUACCAACAUGUCGUAGAAAUAAAAUCAACAAAUGCAACAUAUGACAUUCAACCAGAAAAGAAUAAAGAUAUAUUAAAUAAUAAUAUAAAAUAUAUUUCGAAACCACUUAAAGAUAAGAAUUAUAAUAAUGAAAUAUAUAAACAAAACAAUGAUAAGCAACAAAAAAUUACACAAACACAAAGUCAAAAUUCAAAUGAAAUAAACAUACAUAAUAUAAAUGAAGAACAAAACGAAAAAAUAAAUUAUAAUCAUUCACUUAAUAAAAACACAAUUCUAAUAAAUAAUGAAAAUUUGUCCAAUUAUGUUGAUAUCAAAAAGGCGAUAAUAAAUAAUUAUCAUAAUGAACAAUGCGAUAUAAAAAUAUAUGAAUCACCAACUGAUAAGCAACUAUUAAAAAACUUAGCUCCAAACGACGAAAUUGAAGAUUUUGUUUUAGAAAAUACUAACAAAAAUGAUGAUACAACAUAUAUAAAAGAUAAUGACAUAUCAUGUUACACAAAUGUUAUUAUACCACAUGACGAAUUAAAUAAUGUGAACAAAUCAAUGACUUAUGACAGUGAUGAUAAAAAUAGAACAUAUGAAAAUACAACAAACAUUGCUAUAAUAAACGACCAAACAACAGAAACAAAUGUACAAGAUCGAAAAAAUCUUCAAAAUGAAACAAAUUCCCAUGACAACAAAUGUACCGCACAAAACAUUAUGAACAUAAAUAAAAAAGAAAAUAUAAUGUUAAACAAAAUACCCGAUAUUAUACUAAAUAGUGAUAAAUCUGAAAAUACUAGCAAUAAUGUUAAAACAGAAGGUGAUAUAAACAUAACAAACAACAAUAUUCAUAAUGAAAUAAAAAAAAUUAAUGUUAAUGAUAUUAUUCCUCAUGCUAAAAAACAGUCUAACGAAUACUUCAAAGAAAAUGUAACUAUUUGUAGCAGCUUAUAUAAGAAAGAUGAUAGUAAAAUCAAUAAUAUUUACGAUCAGUGUGAUAAUUAUAAUGAUGUUGUUAGUGAUGUUAAUAGUCAUAAUAAUAAUACUAAUGCUAAUGAUAUUACUACUAAUAGUAAUAAUGAUAACACUAAUAUGAGUGAAGCUCAUAAUAAUAGUAGUAACAAUAAUGAAAUUACUAUUAAUGUUAAUCUUAGUGAUGCUCAUAAUAAUAGUAAUACUGAUAAUAUUAGUAAUAAUAAUAAUGAUAAUAAUAAUAAUAAUAAUGAUAAUAAUAAUAAUAAUAAUAAUGAUAGUAGUAAUAAUAAUGAUAGUAAUAAUAAUAAUGAUAGUAAUACUGAUAAUAUUAGUAAUACUGAUAAUAUUAGUAAUACUGAUAAUAUUAGUAAUAAUACUAAUGAUAGUAAUAAUAAUAAUGAUAGUAAUAAUAAUAAUGAUAAUAAUAAUAAUAAUGAUAGUAGUAAUAAUGAUAGUAAUAAUAAUAAUAGUAAUAACAAUAAUGAUAGUGAAACUAGUCGUGGUGAUAAUGUAAGAUC